GACGUAGGGCGCGAGCGUUGUCCGGAUUUAUUGGGCGUAAAGAGCGCGUAGGCGGCUAGAUAAGUCCGGUGUGAAAGUCACAGGCUCAACCUGUGAAUGCCGCUGGAAACUGUCUGGCUAGAGUCCGGAAGGGGCGAGUGGAAUUCCUGGUGUAGCGGUGAAAUGCGCAGAUAUCAGGAGGAACACCAAUGGCGAAGGCAGCUCGCUGGGACGGUACUGACGCUGAGGCGCGAAAGCGUGGGGAGCAAACAGG
This 253-nucleotide ribosomal RNA is filed under the name uncultured bacterium. RNAcentral's name for it is "partial 16S ribosomal RNA". It matches the Rfam family "Bacterial small subunit ribosomal RNA", at positions 524 to 776 of the family's 1533-position model. The record is from RNAcentral.